RNAcentral lists this long non-coding RNA (2258 nucleotides) under Triticum aestivum (bread wheat). RNAcentral's name for it is "long non-coding RNA (TAES_LNC003000)". Lineage: Eukaryota; Viridiplantae; Streptophyta; Magnoliopsida; Poales; Poaceae. The record is from RNAcentral.
GGCAAUUGUUAAGUACAUUUACUCUUAAGUAUGAGCUAGCAGCUCUCUCUUAACAGAGUAACAACAAGCAUGUGAUUACACAUUCUCCUCAUAUGUACAUAGCUCAGGACUCGUAUACAAGAUAGAUUUGUUAUCCUCUCUGUUACUUCCCCAACCCCUAUUACUCAUUUAAUCUUAUUUCUGAUGGGAAAGCACAUAUACAGCCUUGUAGAUAGAAAAACAGGUAUGCCAUAUAGAGAUAAGAACACACCGGAGAUUUAUGUGGACACGGUGCAUUUUCAUCAAUAAAGUUACGAAAAGAAAGAGAAUAGCUCAACCAGAGAUUUGCAGAAAAGAUAUUAGCGGAUACAAAGGUCGUAUGUGGUGUCUAGGUGAGUCGGACAAUGUUUCAAACAUUCAACUGAUGUUGGACUUGACGGGAUAGGCAUCAUGAGUUAAAGGGGUCACAAUCUAGCUUGGAUGAAAUGGUGCCUGGUAAUCCUGUGCGCUCGUCCUCUGAAGUGUAGUUGUAGCAGGCUAACAUGUCAAUGAGAGAAGUCAGCAUCAAGAUGAAACCUACAUCAUCUCUCAAAGGAAACAUGAACAAAAUCAUGAUGAUACAAAUAAGAUCCCUCCAGUCAGGUGAACACCUUAUUUAACUAUAUGUAUUUACACUCAGAGACUCCUACAAUCAUCUAUACAGAUUCACCAAAUGACCAAAAAGUGAUGCUAAAAAGACACGCCGGCAAGCACAAAAAUUUCAGUUGCUCAACAAAACUCGAUGAAAAGACAGGCCAAGCUUGUUGUCAUCUAUGGAGCUGCACAUGGUCUCUUGAAACAUGGUGUGAAUAAAAAAUCAGAAGGUGAGAACAAGUAUUAGCUGCAAAUAAUCUAUAAUUAGGUGCCCAUGUGUUCCAACGGGGCCAUAAAUUUCCAGUGGUUCAGCAUCAAUUGUGUCAAACAUAUACCUCAUAAUACUACCCAAUUUAUUUUUCAAACAUCGUAGCUUUAAGGAGUUGCACACUGAGUAAUAAAAAUUGAAAUAAUAUUUAAUGAAUAAAAAUAUAUAGUUUUGAGAAUGUCCCUCAUUAUACAAGCAUUACUGAAAACCAGGAUCUUAUUAUCGGUUGGAAAUUCUUGUAAUAAAGUCUUGACUGAAUGAAGUUAUUAUGGCUCUACUUUUGAUAGAUUACUGAUGCCUUCUGCAAGAUAGCAUGUGACUAUAUAGCUUGAUGGUUCAACAAAUGAUACCGACCAGGCUAAUUAAUGCAGAAGCUACAUCAAAUUUUCUCAAGAGAACUGGACCCAAGUACACCAUAUAGGAAAUCAAAGGUAAUCUCUAUAUGACCAGCAAUAACCAAUGGAAGGAUUUCCAUCUAAUUCAGCCACACACACCACUUAGCAAAGACCUCAAAUAAAAGCAUGCUAGAAACCUACUUAUAACUGUAAUGAAAUGCACAUGUACUGAAACUGUGUACCAAAUUUACAUGCACGUUUGUUCUCUGGACAUAUCAUUCUACUCCCUCUGUUUCUAAAUAUAACUCUUUUUAGAUAUUUCAACACAUGCUACAUACGGAUGUAUAUAGACAUAUUUUAGAGUGUAGAUUCACUCAUUUUGCUCCGUAUGUAGUCCCUUAUUGGAAUCUCUAAAAAGCCUUAUAUUUAGGAACAAAGGGAGUAGUUUCUACAAGAAAAGGGUAAGUUAGCCUAAGAAUAAUGCACCAUAACCAAAUCUUGUCGGAAUCAUUUUUAUUUCAAACUAUCAAGUUACUUUCCUCUUGCAUUGAUGAACACAAAUAUCACACGGAUGGCCCGCGAACACAGCGUAUCCGCACAGGCGACCCGCAUCACACCAAGCCCAACACAACAGGACACACCCUGCAAUGGAUAGAGGAAUCUAAUGGAGAAUCAGCAAAUAUGAUACCCCGAGAUCUUACCUGACAUAUCAAAGGCCACCACGGAACCAGCAUCAUCCAAGCGAACAUGAAAGCCAUCAUCCUCAACGCUCCUUUAUUUUGCAGGACAGGUUUUGACACAUCAUCAGGUGUCUCUGCAAACAGAACAAGACCAAGAUCAACACAUCACACCACAUGCCUGCAAAAUUCGGAACAAGCAAAUAUAAUUCAAACAGAAAAGAACGAGGGCCAUCUUAUGCUAACUAUUCUGAAAUAAGUCAUCAUUUGAAAACAGGUAAACUUCUUAUGGUGCAUCACGUCAUGUUGACUUCACUCUAACAGUAAAUAGUAACAUAAAUAAAAAAAACUGUGAGGGCACAGGAG